This is a long non-coding RNA of Drosophila simulans, 1158 nucleotides long. RefSeq lists it as uncharacterized. The record is from RefSeq and is a predicted model, not a curated record. The transcript has 2 exons. Lineage: Eukaryota; Metazoa; Arthropoda; Insecta; Diptera; Drosophilidae.
UGGGGAAUUUUAAGAGCCGCAUGAGUCAGAGAGUGCAGUUCGCACAUCGAUUUAAAUACGGCACACACACAUACACUCACACACUACUUAAAUGUGCGAGUGUGUGUGUGUUUACGCCCACGCCUUAAAUUAUUGAACCAAAAAUUAAAAUAGGGAAAGACAUUGCUGAAAAAUAUUGCCGAAAUACAUUUUCAACACGAGGCCAAGUGCUGUCUGCUUAACCUUUGAUGAAUGAACAGAGGAACAAAAAGAACAUAACCAAGCUGAGGAGCAGAGAGAAACGGCAGCGGAAAGAAAAGAAAAGCAAAGAGAACCUACAACAAAAAUUCAUCAUGAACGAGUUCAACAGCAGCCGUUCGUUUGUUCUCGUUGCUGCGCAUUGGUAUGCGUGUUGGCCCGCGUUUGUGUGUGUGUUUGUAAAUUUGUGAAAAAGAAAAGCAACCAUAAAAUGUUUGCACGCUACCGCAGAAAAUAAUCAGCAGAUUGUCUCUCUCUUGACCAAAAAAUGUUUGACAUACGUUUCACUGCUGCAGCAACAAAAACAAGAGCAGCUAGGAAGAAGCAGAAGCGGCACUGGCGUUGCCAGACCGGCAAUUGACAUCUUUGUCACGCUGCCCAAAAGAGAAUUCGCGAAAGCAGUCGAAAAAAAAUUAUGUACAUGUGUAAGCAGCGAGGAAAUUAAACUACAAAUUUGCGUGGGAGAGGCGGGGGGUCAAUUGCAAGAUCCCAUCGAUGCGAUGACCUUUGAUUUUAAUUGAGUAGCUGCAGCAUAAAAGCUUUUACGUUUUUUCUUCUUUCAGCUUGCAUUUAGCAUUUCGCAAACGUGCUUGUUUGCUAGACAAAGAAAUACAUAGGCAUUUACGCAUACUAUGGCAAGCCAGUGAGCAGUCGAACAGCUGAUAAAUCAUUCACACACACUAUCAAGCGAAUAGGGCUAGCACACACAAACAGCCUUCCGGUGUGUAUGAGAGAAAGAGAGCGACGCUGCAACAACAAUUGCGUGUAGCACAAAUAUGUGCGAUCAAUUCGAUUCGAGGUAUUUCCCCACGUAAAAUUGUAUAUAAUGCAAAUCUGUGGAGCGGCAUGCGUGGAUUUUGUUUGAAAUAUAAAUACUUGUUUGUUCAACUACAAUAAUAAAUCACUCGGUUAUUCUGAUAA